UGCGGCUGGAUCCCCUCCUUUCUAGAGUAUGCCUCAGGGCUUAGCGCUCACUCUUAUCGGUUGUUAUUACAGCAGGAUUGAGGAAUCAGGAGUCAGGAAUCAGGAAACCCGUUUUUCCACUGAGUCCUGCAUCCAGAAUCCUGGAUCCUGAACACAGGGUCUGUAGCUCAGUUGGUUAGAGCACACGCUUGAUAAGCGUGGGGUCGAUGGUUCAAAUCCAUCCAGACCCACCAUUUAUCGGGGGUGUAGCUCAGUUGGGAGAGCGCAUGGUUUGCAACCAUGAGGUCAUCGGUUCGAUCCCGUUCACCUCCACCAAUUCUGAUGCUCGCUGGGGCACUACAAAAAUGCAGAGCUAAGCGUUCAACGCUUAGCUCUGGUUUUUUAACCAGAGGCUGUAACUGUUCUUUAACAAAACGGAAGAAGUAAAGCGUUUCAGUUUCGAAGUUUGAAACUGAAACACUGGGUUUGAUUGUAUCGACGCAUUCGGCAAACAAAAGGGCCGGAUGCGGCACAAGCGCGCUUUAGAAUCCUUAUGACCGCGGCUUCGAAGCAAUUCGAGGAUUCAAGGUUAUAGGGUCAAGCGAAUAAGUGCAUGAGGUGGAUGCCUUGGCGAUCACAGGCGAUGAAGGACGUAGUAGCUUGCGAAAAGCUGCGGGGAGCUGGCAAACGAGCUUUGAUCCGCAGAUGUCCGAAUGGGGAAACCCGG
RNAcentral lists this unclassified non-coding RNA (706 nucleotides) under uncultured beta proteobacterium. Its description in RNAcentral is "partial contains 16S ribosomal RNA, 16S-23S ribosomal RNA intergenic spacer, and 23S ribosomal RNA". The stretch from base 575 to 706 matches the Rfam family "Bacterial large subunit ribosomal RNA", at positions 1 to 131 of the family's 2925-position model. Lineage: Bacteria; Pseudomonadati; Pseudomonadota; Betaproteobacteria. The record is from RNAcentral.